UUGGAAUUUCUGCGCCAUCAAAAAUUUCAAAGCUUUUGGUGGCCUUGAAAAAUGCAUGACUUGGAUUUCUAGGCCACCAAAAAUUGGGAACUUGGUGGCCUAGAAAAUUCCA
Molecule: non-coding RNA, 112 nt
Organism: Caenorhabditis elegans
Lineage: Eukaryota; Metazoa; Nematoda; Chromadorea; Rhabditida; Rhabditidae
Source: Ensembl